GGCAAACGGGUGCGGAACACGUACGCAACCUUCCUUUAAGAGAUGAAUAGCCCGAAGAAAUUCGGAUUAAUGCAUCGUAAGAUUGUGGGAUGGCAUCAUCCAGCAAUUAAAGAUUUAUUUCGCUUAAAGAUGGGCGUGCGCCUGAUUAGGUAGUUGGUGAGGUAACGGCUCACCAAGCCGACGAUCAGUAACUGGCGUGAGAGCGCGACCAGUCACACGGGCACUGAGACACGGGCCCGACUCCUACGGGAGGCAGCAGUAAGGAAUAUUGGUCAAUGGACGGAAGUCUGAACCAGCCAUGCCGCGUGAAGGAUGAAAGCCCUCUGGGUUGUAAACUUCUUUUAUCUGGGAAGAAACCACCUUUUUCUAAGGGUGUUGACGGUACCAGAGGAAUAAGCACCGGCUAACUCCGUGCCAGCAGCCGCGGUAAUACGGAGGGUGCAAGCGUUAUCCGGAUUCACUGGGUUUAAAGGGUGCGUAGGCGGAUUCUUAAGUCCGUGGUGAAAUCUCCAAGCUUAACUUGGAAACUGCCAUGGAUACUAUUAGUCUUGAAUGUUGUGGAGGUUAGCGGAAUAUGUCAUGUAGCGGUGAAAUGCAUAGAUAUGACAUAGAACACCAAUUGCGAAGGCAGCUGGCUACACAAAUAUUGACGCUGAGGCACGAAAGCGUGGGGAUCAAACAGGAUUAGAUACCCUGGUAGUCCACGCCCUAAACGAUGAUUACUCGACAUUUGCGAUACACAGCAAGUGUCUGAGCGAAAGCAUUGAGUAAUCCACCUGGGAAGUACGACCGCAAGGUUGAAACUCAAAGGAAUUGACGGGGGCCCGCACAAGCGGCGGAGCAUGUUGCUUAAUUCGACGCAACGCGAAGAACCUUACCAAGGCUUACAUUGCCCGGAAACACUCAGAGAUGGGUGCCUCUUCGGAUCGGGUGACAGGUGGUGCAUGGCUGUCGUCAGCUCGUGUCGUGAGAUGUUGGGUUAAGUCCCGCAACGAGCGCAACCCUUGUUCAAUGUUGCCAGCACGCUCCUUCGGGGGUGGUGGGGACUCAUUGGAGACUGCCGGGGUCAACUCGGAGGAAGGUGGGGAUGACGUCAAGUCAUCAUGCCCCUUAUGUCUUGGGCUGCAAACAUGCUACAAUGGCCGGUACAGAGGGCUGCGAUACCGCAAGGUGGAGCGAAUCCCUAAAAGCCGGUCUCAGUUCGGAUUGGGGUCUGCAACUCGACCCCAUGAAGUCGGAGUCGCUAGUAAUCGCAGAUCAGCAACGCUGCGGUGAAUACGUUCCCGGGCCUUGUACACACCGCCCGUCACGUCACGAAAGUCGGCAACACCCGAAGCCCGUGGCCCAACCAGCUUGCUGGGGGGAGCGGUCGAAGGUGGGGCUGGCGAUUGGGACGAAGUCGGAACAAGGUA
Molecule: ribosomal RNA, 1412 nt
Filed under: metagenome
Description: bacterial SSU rRNA
Rfam family: Bacterial small subunit ribosomal RNA
Source: RNAcentral